CCUACGGGAGGCAGCAGUGAGGAAUAUUGGUCAAUGGGCGCGAGCCUGAACCAGCCAAGUCGCGUGAAGGAUGACUGCCCUACGGGUUGUAACCUUCUUUUAUAAAGGAAUAAAGUGAGACACGUGUGCAUUUUUGUAUGUCCUUUAUGAAUAAGGAUCGGCUAACUCCGUUACAGCAGCCGCGGUAAUACGGAGGAUCCGCGCGUUAUCCGGAUUUAUUGGGUUUAAAGGGAGCGUAGAUGGGUUGGUAAGUCAGUUGUGAAAGUUUGCGGCUCAACCGUAAAAUUGCAAUUGAUACUGGCAGCCUUGAGUACAGUUGAGGUAGGCGGAAUUCGUGGUGUAGCGGUGAAAUGCGUAGAUAUCACGAAGAACUCCGAUGGCGAAGGCAGCCUGCUAAACAGCCACUGACAUUGAGGCGCGAAAGUGUGGGUAGCAAACAGGAUUAGAUACCCCUGUAGUC
This 460-nucleotide ribosomal RNA is filed under the name uncultured bacterium. Its description in RNAcentral is "partial 16S ribosomal RNA". It matches the Rfam family "Bacterial small subunit ribosomal RNA", at positions 338 to 795 of the family's 1533-position model. The record is from RNAcentral.